UACGGAGGGUGCGAGCGUUGUCCGGAAUCACUGGGCGUAAAGGGCGCGUAGGUGGCGCGGGCAGUCAACGGUGAAAGUUCGGGGCUCAACCCUGAAUCGGCCGUCGAUACUCCCGGGCUUGAGCACUGUAGAGGCAGAUGGAAUUCCGGGUGUAGCGGUGGAAUGCGUAGAGAUCCGGAAGAACACCGGUGGCGAAGGCGGGUCUCUGGGCCGAUACUGACGCUGAGGUGCGAAAGCGUGGGGAGCAAACAGG
Molecule: ribosomal RNA, 253 nt
Filed under: uncultured bacterium
Lineage: Bacteria
Description: partial 16S ribosomal RNA
Rfam family: Bacterial small subunit ribosomal RNA
Source: RNAcentral